AGUGAACGCUGGCGAUAGGCCUAACACAUGCAAGUCGAACGGCAGCACAGUAAGAGCUUGCUCUUACGGGUGGCGAGUGGCGGACGGGUGAGGAAUACAUCGGAAUCUACUUUUUCGUGGGGGAUAACGUAGGGAAACUUACGCUAAUACCGCAUACGACCUACGGGUGAAAGCAGGGGAUCUUCGGACCUUGCGCGAUUGAAUGAGCCGAUGUCGGAUUAGCUAGUUGGCGGGGUAAAGGCCCACCAAGGCGACGAUCCGUAGCUGGUCUGAGAGGAUGAUCAGCCACACUGGAACUGAGACACGGUCCAGACUCCUACGGGAGGCAGCAGUGUGGAAUAUUGGACAAUGGGCGCAAGCCUGAUCCAGCCAUACCGCGUGGGUGAAGAAGGCCUUCGGGUUGUAAAGCCCUUUUGUUGGGAAAGAAAAGCAGCAGGUUAAUACCCCGCUGUUCUGACGGUACCCAAAGAAUAAGCACCGGCUAACUUCGUG
This 492-nucleotide ribosomal RNA is filed under the name uncultured bacterium. Its description in RNAcentral is "partial 16S ribosomal RNA". It matches the Rfam family "Bacterial small subunit ribosomal RNA", at positions 29 to 507 of the family's 1533-position model. The record is from RNAcentral.